CUAUUCUUCAAGCUGGGAAGACGUACUCUUAUUCUCGCCUGGGAGACGCCAACUUGAACAUGUGCUUCAAGUUUCAAAGAUUUCACAAAGGUUUAAGAAUUUGACCAGAAGUGUACCAAAACAUAAGCGAGUGUUGGUUGUUUACAGCUGUGGGACAGACCUCAGCCUUUGAUAAACGAAAUACCAAGCAAAAUAACAACAGCUUGAUAUGAAUGAAAGCUGAAUAGGAAUCCAUUCAGCUGUGCAACACCUGUUUUGGAAUACAAAGCACAACAUGAUUCUUAAAUAGGAGUCCAACGGUCACCAGAACAUGUGUUACAACAUAUUUGCUGCCACUGAUGGACAUGAUUUUAAUGAACCAGCAUUGGAGGAGGAGACAUUGUGACAGCUACAAUACUGUGGUCCUCUGAAAUAGGAAAAGGCUAGACUGUCCCUCUGUUAUUUCAU
Molecule: long non-coding RNA, 447 nt
Organism: Lingula anatina
Lineage: Eukaryota; Metazoa; Brachiopoda; Lingulata; Lingulida; Lingulidae
Source: RefSeq, a predicted model, not a curated record